Molecule: ribosomal RNA, 1406 nt
Filed under: uncultured bacterium
Lineage: Bacteria
Description: 16S ribosomal RNA
Rfam family: Bacterial small subunit ribosomal RNA
Source: RNAcentral
AGAGUUUGAUUCUGGCUCAGGAUGAACGCUAGCGACAGGCUUAACACAUGCAAGUCGAGGGGCAGCGGGGGCGUAGCAAUAUGCCUGCCGGCGACCGGCGCACGGGUGAGUAACACGUAUGUAACCUGCCCUAUGCAGGGGGAUAACCCGGAGAAAUCCGGCCUAAUACCGCGUAACACCUUAGGGGAGCAUUCUCUUGAGGUUAAAGGAGAGAUCCGGCAUAGGAUGGACAUGCGUCGCAUUAGGUAGACGGCGGGGUAACGGCCCACCGUGCCGACGAUGCGUAGGGGUUCUGAGAGGAAGGCCCCCCACACUGGUACUGAGACACGGACCAGACUCCUACGGGAGGCAGCAGUGAGGAAUAUUGGUCAAUGACCGAGAGGCUGAACCAGCCAAGUCGCGUGAGGGAAGAAUGUCCUAAGGAUUGUAAACCUCUUUUGUCGGGGAGCAAAAAGGCCCUGCGGAGUCGUAUUGAGAGUACCCGAAGAAAAAACAUCGGCUAACUCCGUGCCAGCCAGCCGCGGCAAUACGGAGGAUGCAAGCGUUAUCCGGAUUUAUUGGGUUUAAAGGGUGCACAGGCGGGCGUGUCAAGCAAGCGGUAAAAUAGCGGGGCUCAUCCCCGUCGAUCCGUUUGAACUGGCGCGCUGGAGUUCAGGAGAGGUAGGCGGAAUUCGUGGUGUAGCGGUGAAAUGCAUAGAUAUCUCGAAGAACUCCGAUCGCGAAGGCAGCUUACCAGUCUGCGACUGACGCUCAGGCACGAAAGUGUGGGUAUCGAACAGGAUUAGAUACCCUGGUAGUCCACACAGUAAACGAUGAGCGCUAUGUGUCCGGGUCGCGAUGAGACUUGGGUGCCCGAGCGAAAGCGUUAAGCGCUUCCACCUGGGGGAGUAUGCCGGCAACGGUGAAACUCAAAGGAAUUGACGGGGGCCCGCACAAGCGGAGGAACAUGUGAUUUAAUUGGAUGAUACGCGAGGAACACUUACCCGGGCUCAAACGACUCAGGAAUAUAUUGGAAACGAUGUAGCCAGCAAUGGUCUGAGUCGAGGUGCUGCAUGGUUGUCGUCAGCUCGUGCCGUGAGGUGUCGGUUUAAGUGCCAUAACGAGCGCAACCCCUACCGCCAGUUGCCAACGGGUAAAGCCGGGAACUCUGGCGGGACUGCCGGCGCAAGCUGUGAGGAAGGCGGGGAUGACGUCAAAUCAGCACGGCCCUUACGUCCGGGGCGACACACGUGUUACAAUGGCAGGUACAGCGGGAAGCCACCUGGUGACAGGGAGCGGAACCCGAAAGCCUGUCUCAGUUCGGAUUGGAGUCUGCAACUCGACUGCAUGAAGCUGGAAUCGCUAGUAAUCGCGGAUCAGAAUGCCGCGGUGAAUACGUUCCCGGGUCUUGUACACACCGCCCGUCA